RNAcentral lists this ribosomal RNA (260 nucleotides) under uncultured Peptoniphilus sp. RNAcentral describes it as "partial 16S ribosomal RNA". It matches the Rfam family "Bacterial small subunit ribosomal RNA", at positions 96 to 354 of the family's 1533-position model. Lineage: Bacteria; Bacillati; Bacillota; Tissierellia; Tissierellales; Peptoniphilaceae. The record is from RNAcentral.
CGGCGGACGGGUGAGUAACACGUGAGUAACCUGCCUUAGACAUUGGGAUAGCCUCGGGAAACCGGGAUUAAUACCAAAUGAAAUCACAUAUGCACAUGCAUAAAUGAUCAAAGCUCCGGCGGUCUAAGAUGGACUCGCGUCCCAUUAGCUAGUUGGUGAGGUAACGGCCCACCAAGGCGACGAUGGGUAGCCGGCCUGAGAGGGUGAACGGCCACAUUGGAACUGAGAAACGGUCCAAACUCCUACGGGAGGCAGCAGAU